UGAGCUUGCGCCACAUUAGUUUGUUGGUGGGGUAAUGGCCUACCAAGACGAUGAUGUGUAGCUGGACUGAGAGGUCGAACAGCCACAUUGGGACUGAGACACGGCCCAAACUCCUACGGGAGGCAGCAGUAGGGAAUUUUCGGCAAUGGAGGAAACUCUGACCGAGCAACGCCGCGUGAACGAUGAAGUAUUUCGGUAUGUAAAGUUCUUUUAUUGAAGAAGAAAAAAUAGUGGAAAAACUAUCUUGACGUUAUUCAAUGAAUAAGCCCCGGCUAACUAUGUGCCAGCAGCCGCGGUAAGACAUAGGGGGCGAGCGUUAUCCGGAAUUAUUGGGCGUAAAGGGUGCGUAGGCGGUUAGGAAAGUCUAUAAUUUAAUUUCAGUGCUUAACGCUGUCUUGUUAUAGAAACUACCUUGACUAGAGUUAGAUAGAGGCAAGCGGAAUUCCAUGUGUAGCGGUAAAAUGUGUAAAUAUAUGGAGGAACACCAGAAGCGUAGGCGGCUUGCUGGGUCUUGACUGACGCUGAGGCACGAAAGCGUGGGUAGCAAACAGGAUUAGAUACCCUGGUAGUCCACGCCGUAAACGAUGAGUACUAAGUGUCGGGAUAAAACUCGGUACUGAAGUUAACACAUUAAGUACUCCGCCUGAGUAGUACGUACGCAAGUAUGAAACUUAAAGGAAUUGACGGGACUCCGCACAAGCGGUGGAUCAUGUUGUUUAAUUCGAAGAUACACGAAAAAUCUUACCAGGUCUUGACAUGCUCUGCAAAGCUAUAGAAAUAUAGUGGAGGUUAUCAGGGACACAGGUGGUGCAUGGUUGUCGUCAGUUCGUGUCGUGAGAUGUUAGGUUAAGUCCUAAAACGAGCGCAACCCUUGUCGUUAGUUACCAGCACGUAAUGGUGGGCACUUUAACGAGACUGCCAAUUAAACAUUGGAGGAAGGUGAGGAUUACGUCAAAUCAUCAUGCCCCUUAUGAUCUGGGCUACAAACGUGAUACAAUGGCUGUUACAAAGAGUAGCUGAAGCGCGAGUUUUUAGCCAAUCUCAAA
RNAcentral lists this ribosomal RNA (1046 nucleotides) under Candidatus Phytoplasma fraxini. RNAcentral's name for it is "bacterial SSU rRNA". It matches the Rfam family "Bacterial small subunit ribosomal RNA", at positions 226 to 1278 of the family's 1533-position model. The record is from RNAcentral. Lineage: Bacteria; Bacillati; Mycoplasmatota; Mollicutes; Acholeplasmatales; Acholeplasmataceae.